UGAUCCUGGCUCAGGACGAACGCUGGCGGCGUGCUAAUACAUGCAAGUCGAACGCUUCUUUUCUACCGAGUGCUUGCACUCACUUGAAAAGAGGAGUGGCGGACGGGUGAGUAACACGUGGGUAACCUGCCCAUCAGAGGGGGAUAACACUUGGAAACAGGUGCUAAUACCGCAUAACAGUCGACACCGCAUGGUGUUGAUUUGAAAGACGCUUUCGGGUGUCACUGAUGGAUGGACCCGCGGUGCAUUAGCUAGUUGGUGAGGUAACGGCUCACCAAGGCCAUGAUGCAUAGCCGACCUGAGAGGGUGAUCGGCCACACUGGGACUGAGACACGGCCCAGACUCCUACGGGAGGCAGCAGUAGGGAAUCUUCGGCAAUGGACGAAAGUCUGACCGAGCAACGCCGCGUGAGUGAAGAAGGUUUUCGGAUCGUAAAACUCUGUUGUUAGAGAAGAACAAGUAGGAGAGUAACUGCUCCUACCUUGACGGUAUCUAACCAGAAAGCCACGGCUAACUACGUGCCAGCAGCCGCGGUAAUACGUAGGUGGCAAGCGUUGUCCGGAUUUAUUGGGCGUAAAGCGAGCGCAGGCGGUUUCUUAAGUCUGAUGUGAAAGCCCCCGGCUCAACCGGGGAGGGUCAUUGGAAACUGGGAGACUUGAGUGCAGAAGAGGAGAGUGGAAUUCCAUGUGUAGCGGUGAAAUGCGUAGAUAUAUGGAGGAACACCAGUGGCGAAGGCGACUCUCUGGUCUGUAACUGACGCUGAGGCUCGAAAGCGUGGGGAGCGAACAGGAUUAGAUACCCUGGUAGUCCA
This 811-nucleotide ribosomal RNA is filed under the name uncultured Enterococcus sp. RNAcentral's name for it is "bacterial SSU rRNA". It matches the Rfam family "Bacterial small subunit ribosomal RNA", at positions 14 to 797 of the family's 1533-position model. Lineage: Bacteria; Bacillati; Bacillota; Bacilli; Lactobacillales; Enterococcaceae. The record is from RNAcentral.